GAUGAAGAACGUAGCAAAAUGCGAUACUUGGUGUGAAUUGCAGAAUCCCGUGAACCAUCGAGUUUUUGGACGCAAGUUGCGCCCGAAGCCUUUUGGCCGAGGGCACGUCUGCCUGGGCGUCACGCAUCGCGUCGCCCCCCCACAAUUCUCCGUAAAGGGAACAUGUGUUUUGGGGGCGGAUAUUGGUCUCCCGUGCUCAUGGCGUGGUUGGCCGAAAUAGGAGUCCUUUCGAUGGACGCACGAACUAGUGGUGGUCGUAAAAACCCUCGUCUUUUGUUUCGUGCUGUUGCUCGCAAGGUAAACUCUUUAAAACCCCCAAGGCGUCGUCUCUUGACGACGCUUCGACCGCGACCCCAGGUCAGGCGGGACUACCCGCUGAGUUUAAGCAUAUCAAUAAGCGGAGGA
Molecule: unclassified non-coding RNA, 405 nt
Filed under: soil metagenome
Description: partial contains 5.8S ribosomal RNA, internal transcribed spacer 2, and large subunit ribosomal RNA
Rfam family: 5.8S ribosomal RNA (bases 1-122)
Source: RNAcentral